This is an RNA transcript of Athalia rosae (coleseed sawfly), 6343 nucleotides long. RefSeq lists it as uncharacterized. The record is from RefSeq and is a predicted model, not a curated record. NCBI's taxonomy places the organism in Eukaryota, Metazoa, Arthropoda, Insecta, Hymenoptera, Athaliidae. The transcript has 14 exons.
UGGGAUGAUGCCAUAUGCUCUAAUUCUGCGGAUCCGUCGUACAGCGACCGGCCGGGAUCAACUUGGUGGUUGUGGCUCUGAGCGAUUAGUUCGGUCUACGAUUCGUUUGAUCGUCGAAAUAAUUUUCACUUUUUGAACAGUGCGAGCCACCCUAAUAUUCGAACGAACUUCGCACACUGAGGCGGGUGGACCGGCGAGCAUAAAUGCGAAGGUGAUGAGCUAUGGCUGCCCCCGACCCGGGCAUGGUUCGGUUUCGACGAAAUCGCCGUGGAGUUCAAGCCAGUUUCACGAUCCUGGUCUUGGUCUUGGCACUGCUGACGACUCUGGGCCAUGAUGGUGCGUGGGCCUUCCGUAUACGGGACGGAAGUUCAGCAUCGUCGGAGCUCACGCGACCUACGACGUGCAACCCUCUCCUCGGCAGGUGUACGGAAACGAGAAACCCGGUAGGAACAUCGGCGUCUUCGUCAUCCCCCACGCUUGGUAUACGUAAGAGAUUUGAAAGUUCGAACACUUCACCACCAAGUACGGCGAAGAUUCAACAACCACUUGUUGAAGAGUCGGUCGAAGCGGUCGAAUUUGACGAGGGAAAGUCCGUCGGUCGUUCGAGUUACGGCAAAUCAAAAUCCGUCAGAUUACAACUGCGGACUCCGUUCGUUUCCAAGGCAAAUAUCGGCCGAGGAGGUGGGAAGUCAAACCCUCCCUUGUCGAGCGAUGAAGACGAUAAGGGCGAAGAAACUGAAGAAAAUGACGAUGACGAUCAAGAGGGUGGAGACGAUACUGAUGAUGGAAACGUCGACGAAGAAAAUAUGGACGAUACCGAAGAAGAGAAUGACGACGAAAAUAUCGGUAAGAGUGACGCCGAGGACGACGACGAUGACGACGAUGAGAAGAGUAAUUCUGUUGACAACGAAGAUAGUGAAAUAGACUCAAAUGAGUUGGAUGAAGGGGAGGAUGAGGACGAGUCAUUGGAAUCUGAGGCUUCACAGAAUGACGACGAAGAAGCUGAUGUCGAAGAAAGAAAUACAAUAGAAAACGACGAUGACACUGAUUCCGACCAACGUGAUCCUAAAAUUGGGAAAUACACCAGUGGUAACGUUAGAGUUACAAAUGAGCAGGAAAUAUCGAAUGAUAAAACAAAUGUGAGAGUUGGAUCUACACGUGAUCCAAGGUCGGUUGAAAAGAAGAUGAUUAAGAGGACAGUCGACGAUAUCGCAGGAGUUGAUGAAGUGCAAGCAGUCCCAAAAGAAAGAAAAGUGGACGUCAAUGUGGCAUCAAACAGUGAUCAAAUGACGAGUAGGCCAGUAAACUUGAUUCACGUGAAAACAAGCGAUGAAAAAGUUGCUGCUCCGAAAUCAAAAAUUAUUAAUGAAAUCGUGCAGCCUCCAGCAAAAAGCAAAAUGGACGCUGAUAAGAAUGUUAACGAUACCGAAAGCGACGACGAUGAUUCCGAUAAAGACGAUGAAAGUGACAUAGUGGUGGAAAUUGCGCUUCCCUCACGAAAACUUGAAAAAGUUAGACUUGCUGACAAAUCAAAAUCCAUGGAGGCAACAAGAGCUAAAUCUUUGGAAGAAACAGCGAAAAAGACCGUGUCGCCAAAUGUUGAGAAAGCUUCGAGUGAACGAAAGACAAUCGAGCCUUCCAAACCGGCGAAGCCUUCUGUGCAAGAAUCUGAAGUGAAAUUUGAUAAAAAAUCAACGGAAACGAUCGCUUCUACUGUCCCCACCGUCAAUUCGCGGGAAACGAAAAAAUCCAAAGUGCAAGAAUCGGGAAAAACAAUACCUCAGCAAAAAAAAGAAAACAAGCCACAGCCGAAACAAUCCGAAAAAAUGGCAGCCAAAGCACCUGGACCGAAGAUAGAUCAGAAGCCGGAAAAGUUGAAACCGAAGCUUGAGAAACGGACAGGAGCUGUCGUUACUCUUUCGGAACUGAACGACCUAUUACUGCACGUGCCAUCGUUUACUCCAAAUUUUACCGCAAUAGAAGACCCGGUUUGUCAGCAGCAUGGAAAAAUAUUUUUGCGACAACUUCGUGGGUAUAAAUUAUGGGCUUUACAGAUGUUGGAUGCGAGUGCUAAGCUUCCAUCGGGUUUAUUGCGUGGGAAUCUGAAUCAACUCGGAGACUUCGAUCAAUGCAUCGGUGUAAAGGCGCACGUAAAGAUAGACGAGAAGACCGUUAAAGUUCAGGGAAAGUAUUGUCUGGCGACGAUCGAUCUUCAAGCGACGCGGCAGGAGAUGAAAAUUCCCGUGAACAUGAUGCAAAGUCGAGCUUUUCUCAGGGCCAGUAUGAACGAGCCGGCGCACUUUAUCCCACGAUUUACAACCGUCAAUUGGGCUCUCUGCGUUCCGGCUGCAUGCUCGGCAGAAGAUGUUCGGUCCGUGAUGGAAAGUGCUUUGAGUUCUUACAACGUCUCGUUAGGGUUGAAGUUCAACGUUGGUCUUGACUCAGAAUCUUGCUACGUCAAAGAAAAGCCGCAACCCUACUCCAAGGAAACAGUUGCCGUAUUGUAUUUUUACGCGAUGACUGUUUGUCUGGUCUUCGUAGCGACGGUGCGCGAUUUCAUUGUCACCUCCGAUGGACCAGGUAGCUACUCGGAGAGAAUAAUAAUGGCAUUUUCUUUACGUCGAACGACCACCGCAUUGUUGGUGGACUCCCAAGAUGGCAAAGACAUUCGUUGUAUACACGGCAUCAGAACUUUGGCAACAAUUUUUCUUUACAUUGCUCACAAACUGAUACCCAUCGCCAGGAUUCCAUUUGCCAACAGAAUAUCCUUGACCGAAGUGGCCAACAGUCCCAUAAGUUCGGUUCUAAGAGUCUCGCUUAUCUACACAGAUUCCUUUCUUCUACUCAGCGGAGUUCUUACAGCGUAUCACAUGGCCAGUGAGUUCAAUAAACGCGGAGAGAUAAGAUGGUUUUGUAGAUUCGUCACGAGGUUUAUCAGGUUGACCCCAGCUCUAUUAGCGGUGGUGUAUUGGUAUGCAUUCGUCAUGGAGCAUACGGGGUUCGGACCCCAGUGGAGUCCAGUCGUUAAAAGCAACGCCGAUCUUUGCAAGAAAAAUGCAUGGACCAAUUUGCUUUACAUACAGAAUUUCUUUCCAUUCGAAGAAAUGUGUGCAACUCACACCCAUCAGCUGGCUUUGGACAUGCAGCUGUCUCUGAUAGCCCCAAUGUUGGUCUUUUUCCUCUACAACAAGCCCAUAGUCGGGCUGCUGGUCAUACUUUUCUUACUGCAAGUUUCGGCUACCGUUCGCUACUUAGCUACUACGAGCAACUACUUGUCCCUGGUCAUCUUUCACGGCAUGACAUUGAAACAUCUUUACAAAACGGCCAACUUGACCUACGCUUUACCACUGCACAGGGCAACACCCUAUUUGUUCGGUGUAGCGCUCGGAGUGCUGUUGCGUAAUACCGGCAAGCAAGUUCGAAUUCAUAAGGCGUUUGUAUUCGCUGGAUGGUUGACGGCUGCUAGUCUGGGAUCUUGGUCGUUAUUUUCCACAUGGAGAUUAGCCAGAAGGGAUUAUUCAUACGACGUUGAAGAAGCAACGUUCUACGCUGUUAUCUUACCAGUUUGUUGGGCUGCUUCGUUGUGUUGGAUUAUUUUCGCCUCGUACACCGAGCACGGAGGUGCGGUGAACAGAUUUUUAUCUAGCUAUUGGCUGGUCGUAUUGAGCAGGUUAUCAUACUCCGUUUAUCUGACACAAUUUGCCGUAUUUUUCUAUAAUGUUGGAACUACGAGAUACGCAUCAGAAUUUCAAGUUCACAGAGCCAUCGAUUUGUACGAAGUAGCGAGUGUCAUUUGCGUAUCAAUUGUACUGACGCUCCUCUUAGAUUUACCUAUGCAAGAAGUAAAAAAUGUGAUAAUGGAAUGCACAAAUGACCCGGUAAUCGAAAAAAUUAGUUCUGUUGGGCAUGAUGCCGAAGUGACGAGAGUCGCCGAUGAACAAGUUCCAGAAGAGCCACUGGAAAUUCGAGAACCAUUCGAAUUCCGAAACGUUGAUCCGGUCAAUUGGGGGCAGCAAAGAAGGAUCACGCCCGGAGAAGGGGAUGAAUAUGCAGAAGACAACGAGCCACCUGAAGGCUGGACUUACAGGGACAAUGAGAACGUAAGGACACAGUCGUUCGUUCGACGCAUCGUAGACGAAGAAGAGGAACCGACUUGGGGCUGGACAAAAGGUCCUGUCCGAAGGAUACCGAGACAUAACAUCGAGAAUGAUCGGGUCUUAGGAGCGGAAAGAAGGAGUCAAAGUCGACAGGAAUAUUCAGACAAUGACUACUCCGACGAACCAAAGUUCGUGAAAAAACAACAAGGGCGGGAUGAAGAGGAAUAUCGUAGGGAUCAACGGUCGCAGUCCAGAGCGUUUGAAAGCAGAAGAUCGUUGAGCAGGGACUUAGAUGAAAUUUCGUUGAGCGUGAAAAAAAGAAACGGUUCCAUUCCGAGAACUGGAGAAAUGAACAGAUCUUCCGCGAAAGACUUUGCUGCAACCCCGAGAGAAUUCGCGAGGGCAGAACGAUCUCUGACAAGAGAAACUGACAAUAAUGCGAUCGCUUCGAAGUGGAGAUCGGACGAGCAACCAUCGUGGGAAUACACCAAACGGGAACGUUCGGCAUCUCAGAGUGCUAGGGACGGCGAACGAUUAGCGGUUAAAGGGUUAGAAGCACAACGGUCCGCGUUGAGAUUAUCAACGGGGUCUUUACCACACGCGAGUGGAGAAUUUCAGGUGAAAACCUCGAGUGGGAGUGAAAGGGAGUCGAAUCGAGAAGAGAAACCAAAACUUGCAAAGACAAUGCCGCUGGAAGAACCGAGAGUCAGUGACGAAGAGGGCUGGGAAGAGGAACUCAAACUGCGCAGGGAAACGAUAUCGAAAACUUUACCCUCCGAGGAAACUACAGGAACCGCAAGCGAAGAGGAAGAGUGGAAUGUUUUGAAGAGGCGCUCUUCCGCGGAAGGAAAAAUGGCUUUACUCAAUGACUCGGCCAAAAUUGAACAUUUCGGUGCAUGGAGCAUGAGAAAAGUACCACAAGGUUCCGACUCCGUUUCUCACGAAUUCAGUGAAAGCGAUGAAGAAAAUUCUUACCACGGUUCGAGAAACGAUUAUCGCGAGACUCGACCACCGUUCCGGGAAAGUUACGAGACUCAGAGUGACGACGAGGCCAGCAGUUGGAAUCCUUCGAGGCAACAAUCAUAUACCAGUAGUCAGCCAACGUCGGUAGACGAGGAGGGGGAUUCUUCUGCUUAUGAUUUUGUCCUGAAAAAGGUGAGCAAACGAUCAUCCCUUCAGAAUCUGAGCAGAAUAUCGCAGGAGGAACCGGAACCCGAGGAAGAUUCCGGAUGGGAUUUUGUCAAAGAAGAAAACACAGAUACCGGAAAUCUAAAGACCACGGCAACGGGGCUCUUCAAGCGUGCUUCUAUAGUAAAAAGUCAAGCGAGCGAAGAAGACCCUGAGUAUUUGCUACCGGAAAGACCGAAACUCGUGGAACAGGAGCAAGAGCACCCUUUCAAGAAGGCAUGGCAAAUGCAGAAAUCAAGAUCAGAGGAAGACGGUCCAACUGGAUUCCUAGUGAAGGACAAAGAUGCCAAUCCAAAGACAAGCGGCGCUGAAAAUCGGAAAGAUAAUUCCAAGCAGGAGGAAUUGGCGAAGCGGAGACCAACGUCGGGUGGGCAAAAAGAAGAUCUGAGUUACUUUGCAGGUGAUGAAGCGGAAUCAACUUCGGUUUCGUAUCCCGCAAGCAACAGCGGCGAUAGUGCGAAUUUAGAUUGGGCUGAAGAAGAAGAACGAUCGGAAGGCAGCAGGUUUGAUGAUACGGAGCUGGAAUCGACGGAAUCGCUGGACAAAGAGAUGCCGCUUUCGGAAGAAAGGGAAGAACAGAAUCGAUACUCGGAAGAGUUGAACUGGAAGUGGAACCAAGAAGAGACUUGACGAUCGCGGAAUGUGGAUUUGAAUGAUCAUUGAGCUGUGAUUGAGUGAUAUUUAUGAAAAAACAGCUGGCUGAAAUGAAGGGCAAUGAGCAGCGAAUCCCUGUUUUGAAAGAAGCAAUUCCGUGUGUUCAAAAAUGUCGACUCGCCAAUCAACCAAUAAGCUAAAACGUCAAUUAACAAAUAAAUGAAGGUAUCGAAAUAUUCCAUCGUCGGUUGGUUCGCGGCGAUUCGUAUUCCCAAGGAAAUAAAUCGACGUUACAAAGAGAAGAAUGGCCGGUUAUUGCGAACUGAUAAAAAAAUCAUGAAUUAUACAGCGACUGAUUGUGAGGGGUGUUCCCCCAGCGCAAAGAUAGGACUAUUUUUGUUUCCAAUACACAAUUGAAUUCUACUCAUGUAUUAUGGCAAAAUAAACAAUACAUGCAUAUCCGA